UGAAAGGGAAGAACCAGCGUUUGGGAGC
Molecule: non-coding RNA, 28 nt
Filed under: Homo sapiens (human)
Lineage: Eukaryota; Metazoa; Chordata; Mammalia; Primates; Hominidae
Source: RNAcentral